GACUAACGCUGGCGGCGUGCUUAACACAUGCAAGUCGAACGGAAAGGCCCUGCUUUUUUGGGGUGCUCGAGUGGCGAACGGGUGAGUAACACGUGAGUGACCUGCCCUUGACUUUUGGAUAACUUCAGGAAACUGGGGCUAAUACCGGAUAGGAGCUCCUUCUGCAUGGUGGGGGUUUGAAAGUUUCGGCGGUUGGGGAUGUACUCGCGGCUUAUCAGCUUGUUGUUGGGGUAGUGGCUUACCAAGUCUUUGACGGGUAGCCGGCCUGAGUGGGUGACCGGACACAUUGGGACUGAGAUACGGCCAAGACUCCAACGGGAGGAAGAAGAGGGGAAUAUUGAACAAUGGGCGGAAGCCUAAUGCAGCAAAGCCGCGUGCGGGAUGAAGGCCUUCGGAUUGUAAACCGCUUUCGCCUGUGAGGAAGCGUGAGUGACGGUAAUGGGUAAAGAAGCACCGGCUAACUACGUG
RNAcentral lists this ribosomal RNA (468 nucleotides) under uncultured bacterium. RNAcentral describes it as "partial 16S ribosomal RNA". It matches the Rfam family "Bacterial small subunit ribosomal RNA", at positions 28 to 507 of the family's 1533-position model. The record is from RNAcentral.